This 37-nucleotide non-coding RNA is filed under the name Allocoleopsis franciscana PCC 7113. The record is from RNAcentral. Lineage: Bacteria; Bacillati; Cyanobacteriota; Cyanophyceae; Coleofasciculales; Coleofasciculaceae.
GUUUAAAUUCGACUUAAUCCCUAUCAGGGAUUGAAAC